GGUGAAAUAGUGGUAAGGCGUCGGUCUCGUAAACCGAAGAUCCAGGGUUCGAUCCCCUGCUGAGCCU
Cordylochernes scorpioides is the source of this 67-nucleotide non-coding RNA. NCBI's taxonomy places the organism in Eukaryota, Metazoa, Arthropoda, Arachnida, Pseudoscorpiones, Chernetidae. The record is from the annotation of a GenBank genome assembly.